Molecule: ribosomal RNA, 482 nt
Filed under: Lachnospiraceae bacterium canine oral taxon 024
Lineage: Bacteria; Bacillati; Bacillota; Clostridia; Lachnospirales; Lachnospiraceae
Description: bacterial SSU rRNA
Rfam family: Bacterial small subunit ribosomal RNA
Source: RNAcentral
GAGUUUGAUUCUGGCUCAGGAUGAACGCUGGCGGCGUGCCUAACACAUGCAAGUCGAACGAAGCAUAUAGAAGGAAGUUUUCGGAUGGAAUUUUAUAUGACUUAGUGGCGGACGGGUGAGUAACGCGUGGAUAAUCUGCCUUACACAGCGGGAUAACAAAUGGAAACAGUUGCUAAUACCGCAUAAGCACACAGUAUCGCAUGAUACAGGGUGAAAAGAUUUAUCGGUGUAAGAUGAGUCCGCGUCCCAUUAGCUAGUUGGUGAGGUAAAAGCUUACCAAGGCGACGAUGGGUAGCCGGCCUGAGAGGGUGAACGGCCACAUUGGGACUGAGACACGGCCCAGACUCCUACGGGAGGCAGCAGUGGGGGAUAUUGCACAAUGGGCGAAAGCCUGAUGCAGCGACGCCGCGUGAAGGAAGAAGUAUUUCGGUAUGUAAACUUCUAUCAGCAGGGAAGAAAAUGACGUACCUGACUAAGAGCCC